Molecule: transfer RNA, 73 nt
Rfam family: tRNA
About the family: Transfer RNA (tRNA) molecules are approximately 80 nucleotides in length. Their secondary structure includes four short double-helical elements and three loops (D, anti-codon, and T loops). Further hydrogen bonds mediate the characteristic L-shaped molecular structure. tRNAs have two regions of fundamental functional importance: the anti-codon, which is responsible for specific mRNA codon recognition, and the 3' end, to which the tRNAs corresponding amino acid is attached (by aminoacyl-tRNA synthetases). tRNAs cope with the degeneracy of the genetic code in two manners: having more than one tRNA (with a specific anti-codon) for a particular amino acid; and 'wobble' base-pairing, i.e. permitting non-standard base-pairing at the 3rd anti-codon position.
Source: Rfam
GCCGAUGUAGCUCAGUUGGUAGAGCAAUUGCUUCGUAAGCAAUGGGCCAGAGGUUCAAAUCCUCUCAUCGGCU